RNAcentral lists this ribosomal RNA (305 nucleotides) under uncultured bacterium. Its description in RNAcentral is "partial 16S ribosomal RNA". It matches the Rfam family "Bacterial small subunit ribosomal RNA", at positions 508 to 807 of the family's 1533-position model. The record is from RNAcentral.
ACAGCAGUCGCCGCGGGAAUACGUAGGGUGCAAGCGUUAAUCGGAAUUACUGGGCGUAAAGCGUGCGCAGGCGGUUUUGUAAGACAGAGGUGAAAUCCCCGGGCUCAACCUGGGAACUGCCUUUGUGACUGCAAGGCUAGAGUACGGCAGAGGGGGAUGGAAUUCCGCGUGUAGCAGUGAAAUGCGUAGAUAUGCGGAGGAACACCGAUGGCGAAUGCAAUCCCCUGGGCCUGUACUGACGCUCAUGCACGAAAGCGUGGGGAGCAAACAGGAUUAGAUACCCCAGUAGUCCCUGUCUCUUAUAC